This 331-nucleotide unclassified non-coding RNA is filed under the name uncultured Ophiostomataceae. RNAcentral describes it as "sequence contains ITS1". The stretch from base 1 to 106 matches the Rfam family "5.8S ribosomal RNA", at positions 50 to 154 of the family's 154-position model. The record is from RNAcentral. Lineage: Eukaryota; Fungi; Ascomycota; Sordariomycetes; Ophiostomatales.
CAAAUGCGAUAAGCAAUGCGAAUUGCAGAAUUCCGCGAGUCAUCAGAUCUUUGAACGCAAGUGGCGCUGGGAUAACCAAUACCCCAGCAUGUUUGUUUCAGUGUAUUAGGAAUCAUAAAGCUUAAUGCGGUUGAAGGUGCCUUAAAAACACUUUCUCCCGUUGAAUGCGAAAGCGCUGAAUCGUUCGGUGCCGACUGAAGUAGUCACUUCUCGCAAGUGAUCUCGGUUGGCUAAGCCGGAGAUUCACUACAGCGCUUUUUAAAUUAUAAUUUCUCCAUUCAAUAAGACUUAAUGUCACCUGAAAUCAAGCAAGAUCACCCACUGAACUUAA